This is an unclassified non-coding RNA of Mustela putorius furo (domestic ferret), 314 nucleotides long. Its record names the gene 7SK. It matches the Rfam family "7SK RNA". From Rfam's summary of the family: 7SK was discovered as an abundant small nuclear RNA in the mid-70s but a possible function has only recently been suggested. The record is from Ensembl. NCBI's taxonomy places the organism in Eukaryota, Metazoa, Chordata, Mammalia, Carnivora, Mustelidae.
GUUCAGCAAAUCUGGCUGUGACAUUGGUCACCAGGGUAGAUUUGGCUGGCUAUGGAGGAGUCCCCUUCUUCCCUUAGCCUCCACGUGCCUGUCCCUCCCUGAAGCUGCAUGCUUGAUGGAAGAUGGAAGAUGACCUUCCCUGAGAGAGAGAAGGACUGUUCUUCCGUCAAAGGUAUACAAGUAGCUGCACUCUUUUGCUAGAACCCCCAAACAAGCUCUCAAAGUCCAUUUGUAGGAGAAUGUAGGGUAGUCAAGCUUCCAAGACUCCAGACUCAUUGCAGUGAGGCACAGCACACGGAAGUUUGCCUUUCUUU